Molecule: ribosomal RNA, 491 nt
Filed under: uncultured bacterium
Lineage: Bacteria
Description: partial 16S ribosomal RNA
Rfam family: Bacterial small subunit ribosomal RNA
Source: RNAcentral
GAUGAACGCUGGCUACAGGCUUAACACAUGCAAGUCGAGGGGAAACGACGGGGAAGCUUGCUUCCCCGGGCGUCGACCGGCGCACGGGUGAGUAACGCGUAUCCAACCUGCCUCUGACUGAGGGAUAACCCGUCGAAAGUCGGCCUAAUACCUCAUGGCAUCGUCUGCGGGCAUCCAACGACGAUUAAAGAUUUCAUCGGUCAGGGAUGGGGAUGCGUCUGAUUAGCUAGUUGGCGGGGUAACGGCCCACCAAGGCGACGAUCAGUAGGGGUUCUGAGAGGAAGGUCCCCCACAAUGGAACUGAGACACGGACCAAACUCCUACGGGAGGCAGCAGUGAGGGAUAUUGGUCAAUGGGCGAGAGCCUGAACCAGCCAAGUAGCGUGCAGGAUGACGGCCCUAUGGGUAGUAAACUGCUUUUAUGCGGGGAUAAAGUGAGGGACGUGUCCUUCAUUGCAGGUACCGCAUGAAUAAGGACCGGCUAAUUCCGUG